This 443-nucleotide ribosomal RNA is filed under the name uncultured bacterium. RNAcentral's name for it is "partial 16S ribosomal RNA". It matches the Rfam family "Bacterial small subunit ribosomal RNA", at positions 338 to 795 of the family's 1533-position model. The record is from RNAcentral.
CCUACGGGUGACAGCAGUGGGGAAUAUUGGUCAAUGGGCGCAAGCCUGACCCAGCAACGCCGCGUGAAGGAAGAAGGCUUUCGGGUUGUAAACUUCUUUUAUGAGGGACGUAAGAAAUGACGGUACCUCAUUAAUAAGCCACGGCUAACUACGUGCCAGCAGCCGCGGUAAUACGUCGGUGGCAAGCGUUAUCCGGAUUUACUGGGUGUAAAGGGCGUGUAGGCGGGACGGCAAGUCAGAUGUGAAAAUUAUGGGCUCAACCCAUAACUUGCAUUUGAAACUGGAGUUCUUGAGUAAUGGAGAGGCAGGCGGAAUUCGGGGUGUAGCGGUGAAAUGCGUAGAUAUACGGAGGAACACCAGUGGCGAAGGCAGCCUGCUAGACAGUAACUGACGCUGAGGCGCGAAAGCGUGGGGAGCAAACAGGAUUAGAUACCCGGGUAGUC